UACGUAGGUGGCAAGCGUUGUCCGGAUUUACUGGGUGUAAAGGGCGUGUAGCCGGGCUGACAAGUCAGAUGUGAAAUCCGGGGGCUCAACCCCUGAACUGCAUUUGAAACUGUUGGUCUUGAGUAUCGGAGAGGCAGGCGGAAUUCCUAGUGUAGCGGUGAAAUGCGUAGAUAUUAGGAGGAACACCAGUGGCGAAGGCGGCCUGCUGGACCGUAACUGACGUUGAGGCUCGAAAGCGUGGGGAGCAAACAGG
RNAcentral lists this ribosomal RNA (253 nucleotides) under uncultured bacterium. Its description in RNAcentral is "partial 16S ribosomal RNA". It matches the Rfam family "Bacterial small subunit ribosomal RNA", at positions 524 to 776 of the family's 1533-position model. The record is from RNAcentral.